AUUUAAGGCUCUGCCACCCUGAACAAGCCCAAUCCCGUCUGAGCUCGGAAGCUAAGCAGGGUCGGGCCUGGUUAGUACUUGGAUAGGAGACCACCUAGGAAGACCAGGUGCUGUAGGUG
This 119-nucleotide ribosomal RNA is filed under the name Pteropus alecto (black flying fox). The record is from RNAcentral. Lineage: Eukaryota; Metazoa; Chordata; Mammalia; Chiroptera; Pteropodidae.